Molecule: unclassified non-coding RNA, 289 nt
Filed under: Bartonella schoenbuchensis R1
Lineage: Bacteria; Pseudomonadati; Pseudomonadota; Alphaproteobacteria; Hyphomicrobiales; Bartonellaceae
Description: speF
Rfam family: Alphaproteobacterial sRNA ar45 (bases 4-150)
Source: RNAcentral
AUUGCCCAAAGUCGCACGUGCCUGUGGGUGUCCGCUGGUUCUCAAAUGGUGAGAUUAACCGGUACGGUACCUGGAACUAACCGCUCCAGUCAUUCUUACGGCCAAUCGAAAGAAUGAGGACAUCUUGAAGCAACGACGGUGCGGGCCUUUCUGGUGUCUUCCAGCUAUUUAAAAUGCUGGGAUAAACUAUAGAGGCACACCUCAUUGCCUUCAGUGCGGAAGUUUUUGUGCAACUCCAAUCAAAAAGGCAGACAAAAUAGAACAAUGCGGUUUUCGCGCUGUUCCUUCG